Peromyscus leucopus (white-footed mouse) is the source of this 1704-nucleotide long non-coding RNA. RefSeq lists it as uncharacterized. The record is from RefSeq and is a predicted model, not a curated record. Lineage: Eukaryota; Metazoa; Chordata; Mammalia; Rodentia; Cricetidae. The transcript is spliced from 2 exons.
AAAAGAAAAAAUGAGUGUCCUAAGUGCAAGUUGGACUGAGGGCAAUGGCCAACAUCAGUGAUGUGUGAUAUAUGGAUUCUGCACACCAUCCGUUAUUUGUAGACUUUAUUCACAAUCACUUGACUCUGUCUAAUUGCUUUAGAAACCAGAGGUAGUUUUUGUGUUAUGUAGAGAAUAUUCUUGAUAAAAAGUUUCUGAGUAUUUUAAAAAGUAUUCUCAUGCUUGCGUGCUCUUUGGGGAGGUCACAGGUUAGUGUGCAAAUGUAUCUGGUCAUUUUUAUGCUCACUGUUCCUUCCUUUGUUUCAUUCUUAGACUAGGGACGACUGUUAUGAUUUAGUGAGUGAGGCCCUGCACCGCUGCGCUGAUCAUGCUCUGUGGGCUUGAUGGUGGGACCAGGAACAUACACUGCUGGCAGUCAUGCUGUGACUCACUUGGUGACCAGGCACUCCAGCCACCCCUCCCCCAGCUGGUGUCAUGCUCGGGACGUCAUCAUUGCACCAGAAGUCCAUCACCCCUGCCGAGAAGAUACUUCUUCCUGAAGCAGUUGCUUCCUGAAGUCACUGAACAUCUCCUGCCACUUGACCCUUUGUCUAUACCUACCAGCAGAAGCCAGUUUGUAGGAACCCUGCUGUCUCUAUCCCCUGGAUGACUUCCUACAGCAACUCUCUGUUGGACAUCCUCUAUGGACAAUUUCGGUAAAACACCCUAGGUGUUUUUCUAGGAUACUUCCUGAUCAUCACCAUCAUCAUCACCACCACCAUCAUCAUCACCACCACCAUCAUCAUCAUUUUCUUCAUUGUAAAGAUCACAUGUCCAUUAGGUAACUAAUGCUGAGUGGCUAUUUUAUACUGAACCAAAAAAUUAAAGAGUGUAAACUUCUAUUCUAGCAUUAUAAUUUAAGCAGGUGCACUGAUACACACGUAAGUUUAUAGGUACUACAUAACAGAAAUCAACCUGCUAACUAGCUAGUCCGGAUUGCUCGUUAUGAACUAGAUCUGUGACUGGAUCAUGAAGAGAACCUCUGGGAAUCAUAAACAGAAGGAGGCUGUUCACCUUUCUUUGGUUAGUGUUUUAGGUAAACAAUGAUAAUAGAUUCACGUUGUUGACUUUGGGUCUCUGUGGUCAAAGAGAGUGUAAGGUGGGUAGUGGUACUGGGAUUGCUGCUUUUUUGUUUGGUUGGUUUUUUGGUUUUCUUUUUUUUUUUUUCUUUAAGGGAAGGAGAUACAAGAUGAUCAAAUGCGUUUUGACCAGCUGUAGCAGAGAGAGUGAAAGGGACAGGAUGAUGGAAAGAAGCCGGAUCCAGAAUUAUGCCCAGAACCCAAGGGUAGCUCUGUUACCAGAUGCAAGAUCCGAGUCAAAGCAUACACCUGGAAAUUCCUAGUGUCCCCUUUUCAUCUGUAUGAUGGGAGUAAUAACAUCUGCCCUGAUGUGCUAGAGUUAGUAUGCUAGUCAGUUUUGUGCCCUGGAGAUAACUUAGAAAGAAAAAAAAAAAAAGGGCUGGAGCUUAAUUCAGUGGGUAGCAUGCUUGCCUAGCACAUGUAAAGCCCUGUUUGAUCCCCAGCUCUACACAAACCCUGUGUGAUAGCACAUGUCUAUAAUAUCUGCCUAAGAGGACCAGAUGUUUAAGAUCAUCUCAGACAUAUGGCAAGUCUAAAGCCAGCCUGGGACACAUGGGAUCUUGUCUAGAAACAAAACAAAACAAAA